AACGAACGCUGGCGGCAUGCCUAACGCAUGCAAGUCGAACGAGACCUUCGGGUCUAGUGGCGCACGGGUGCGUAACGCGUGGGAACCUGCCCUUAGGUUCGGAAUAACUCCCCGAAAGGGGUGCUAAUACCGGAUAAUGUCUUCGGACCAAAGAUUUAUCGCCUUUGGAUGGGCCCGCGUUGGAUUAGCUAGUUGGUAGGGUAAAAGCCUACCAAGGCGACGAUCCAUAGCUGGUCUGAGAGGAUGAUCAGCCACACUGGGACUGAGACACGGCCCAGACGGGUGCGGGGGGGGAGGGGGGGGGAGGAGGGAAGAGGGGGCAAGAGCUGGACCGAGUAGGGGGGGGAGGGUGAGGGUGGCUUGGGUGUUGUAACGCGUUGUGACGGGGGAGGAAAAAGACAGCGCGGGAAGAAGAACCGCCGACAACCCCCGCGCCAGCAGCCGGGGUAAAAGCGGGAAGAGCCAAGGUCUGCCC
This 475-nucleotide ribosomal RNA is filed under the name uncultured bacterium. RNAcentral describes it as "partial 16S ribosomal RNA". The stretch from base 20 to 300 matches the Rfam family "Bacterial small subunit ribosomal RNA", at positions 47 to 358 of the family's 1533-position model. The record is from RNAcentral.